Molecule: ribosomal RNA, 1171 nt
Filed under: Pseudocapillaria tomentosa
Lineage: Eukaryota; Metazoa; Nematoda; Enoplea; Trichinellida; Capillariidae
Description: SSU rRNA
Rfam family: Eukaryotic small subunit ribosomal RNA
Source: RNAcentral
AGGCAGCAGGCGCGCAAAUUACCCAUUCCCAGAACGGGGAGGUAGUGACGAAAAAUAACGGAACGUAUCUCGAUGAGACGCGUUACCGGAACGAUUGAGCCGUAUACGAGCUCGACAAAAGCUAUUGGAGGGCAAGUCUGGUGCCAGCAGCCGCGGUAAUUCCAGCUCCAAUAGCGUAUAUUAAAGCUGCUGCGGUUGAACCGCUCGUAGUUGGAUUGCGAUUUUCGGCCACGGUCCUCUAAGUCAGGAGGAUUGGCUCUGCCGCCGUUGGUCAUGAUCGGUGUUGUCAUGCUUGUCGUUGAUGCUCUUUGCUGAGUGUCAUCGGUGACAUGGACGUUUACUUUGAGAAAAUAAGAGCGCUCAAAGCAGGCUGCUCAUUGCUUGAACGGAAUUUCCUGGGAUAGUGAAAGAUGAUCUCGCUGGUAGAAAAAAAACCACGAGGUAAUGAUUAAAAGAGACAGACGGUGGCAUUCGUACUGCUACGUUAGAGGUGAAAUUCUUGGAUCGUAGCAAGACGAACAAUUGCGAAAGCAUUUGCCAAGAAUGUUUUCAUUAAUCAAGAACGAAAGUUGGAGGAUCGAAGGCGAUCAGAUACCGCCCUAGUUGCGACUUUAAACGAUGCCAACUAGCGAUUCGGCGAUGUCUUACAAAUGACUCGCUGAGCAGCUCCCGGGAAACCAAAGUCUUUCGGUUCCGGGGGAAGUAUGGUUGCAAAGCUGAAACUUAAAGGAAUUGACGGAAGGGCACCACCAGGAGUGGAGCAUGCGGCUUAAUUUGACUCAACACGGGAAAGCUCACCCGUCCCGAACACUGUCAGGAUUGACAGAUUGAGAGCUCUUUCUUGAUUCGGUGGGUAGUGGUGCAUGGCCGUUCUUAGUUGGUGGAGCGAUUUGUCUGGCCAAUCCCGAUAACGAACGAGACUCUGGCCUGCUAAAUAGUGACGGCACGAUUGCUUUGCCGAGCACUUCUUAGAGGGACAAGCGGCGGUACGAAGCCGCACGAGAAAGAGCAAUAACAGGUCUGUGAUGCCCUUAGAUGGACGGGGCUGCACGCGUGCUACACUGAUGGCACCAACGUGCGUUCAAGCCUGGCUUGAAGAGGCCAGGUAAUCGAUUGAAAUGUCCGUCGUGACUGGGACAGGGAAUUGCAAUUAUUGCCCUCGAACGAGGAA